Molecule: ribosomal RNA, 505 nt
Filed under: uncultured bacterium
Lineage: Bacteria
Description: bacterial SSU rRNA
Rfam family: Bacterial small subunit ribosomal RNA
Source: RNAcentral
GGCUCAGAGUGAACGCUGGCGGCAGGCCUAACACAUGCAAGUCGAGCGGCAGCGCGUCCGACCACCCUCGGGUGGUCGGAUGGCGGCGAGCGGCGGACGGGUGAGGAAUGCAUCGGAAUCUGCCUCGUUGUGGGGGAUAACGUAGGGAAACUUACGCUAAUACCGCAUACGGCCUACGGGUGAAAGUGGGGGACCUUCGGGCCUCACGCGAUGAGAUGAGCCGAUGCCGGAUUAGCUAGUUGGCGGAGUAAAGGCCCACCAAGGCGACGAUCCGUAGCUGGUCUGAGAGGAUGAUCAGCCACACUGGAACUGAGACACGGUCCAGACUCCUACGGGAGGCAGCAGUGGGGAAUAUUGGACAAUGGGGGCAACCCUGAUCCAGCCAUGCCGCGUGUGUGAAGAAGGCCUUCGGGUUGUAAAGCACUUUUGUUGGGGAAGAAACCGGCCGGGUUAAUACCCUGGUUGAAUGACGGUACCCAAAGAAUAAGCACCGGCUAACUUCGUG